GGGGCCGGGCUGCGGAGUGCGGGCGGGGCUUGAGGGCCAGAGCGUGGUGAGCGGUCCCGACUCCCCUGCCUCUCCGCGGGUUGCUGGGACGUGCGGACCCGGCGCGGAACCUAGAUCGAUAGGGCGAGCCGGAGGAGGUCAAACACCAGAGCCACGUGCCCUCCUCCUACGUCCCCCUGCCCUCUCGUGCGCUUUGCUCUGCGGCGGAUCCCGGGUCUCUGGAGAGUCGGGCUCGGGCUCUGCGGUUCCCAGGCUGGACUGGCCGCCCUGUUGCUAAAGUACUGAGAAGGAAGGCAUAAGGGCCACGUGUUAUGAAAUUACUUUGAGACAAGAAGCUUUGAAAGAUGGUUUCCACAGGAUGAAGAAAUGUGUAUUGGAAGACAACAGAGGUGAAUGACUUCAUAAAGAUUCACAAAUAUAUCCAACAUCUUCUGAUUAAUAGAUUGAAUGUGAUCUUGGAGGGAGGUCCUGAAGGGUCUCUGUCUUUUUAAAAUACAUAUGCUUUUUCUGAUUAUAAAAGUAUUACCUAUUUAUAAAUACGUGUAUAGUGUCCAGGAGAAAAUAGAUUAUAGAUAUAUUCUGCUUUUAUAGAAAAUAUAUCUAUAUGGCUAAUGAUGUGGGCCUUAGAGUAAAACUAUGAUCAUUUGAAUCUUGGCUAGAUAAGUUACUUAGCCUCUCAGUGCCUUGCUUAUAUAAUUCCAAGGAAUUAUAAUAGAAUUAUUUCGUAGUUUAAAAAAAUCAACUUCAUUGAGUUUUGACACAUGUAUACACUCAUGUAACCACAACCAGACCAGUUUCAAAAUAUAGAACAUUUCUAUCCUAAAAAAUACCUGUGUGCUGCUUCCCAUUAUUCUUUCUCACAUACCCGCUCACAGCCAACCACUUGUCUGUUUUCUGUCACUGUAUAGGUUUUCUAGACUUUUAUAUAAAUGAAAUCAUACAGUAUAUGCUUUUUUAUAUCUGGCUUCUUUCACUCAGUGUUAUGUCAGUGAGAUUCAUACAUGUUCUAUAUAGAAGUAGUUUGUUCUUUUUUGUUGCUAAGUGCUGAAAUGUGUUUAUCCAUUCACAUAUCAAUGGCAUGGAGUAGUUUCCAGUUUGGGGCUGUUAUUAUAAAGCAAGCUGCCGUGAACAUUUGUGUACAUGUCUUUGUGUGGGCCUGUUUCCAUUUCUCUUGGGUAGAUAUUGAUGAGAGGAAUUUCUGAGUAUAUGAUAGGUAUAUGUUGAACCUUUUAAGAAACUGUCAAACUGUUUUCCAAAGUGGUUAUACCAUUUUACAUUUCACCAGCAGCAUGUGAGAAUUCUUUUUCCCAUUUCUUCAGCAACACUGGAUAUGAUUAGUCUUAGACAUUCCGGUGGCUGUGUAGUGGCAUUUCAUUGUAGUUUUAAUUGGCAUUUCGUUGAUGACUAAUAAUGUUGAGCAUCUUUCCACGAUGCUUAUCGUGUAUCUUCCUUUAGGAAGUGUUUGCUUAAAUGAAAACACCCAUUUUAAGUUGGGUUGUUUAUUAUCUUAUUAAGUUGUAAGCAUUCUUCAUAUAUAUAUUUUUGAUAUAAGUCCUUUGGCAGAUGUAUGCAUUGAGAAUAUUUUCUCCCUGUUUAUGGCUUGCCAUUUCAUUUUCUUAGACAGGGUCCCACUCUUACCCAGGCUGGAAUGCAGUGGCACAAUAAUUGCUCACUGCAGGGUGGAACUCCUGGGCUCAAGUGAUCUUCCUGCCUCAGCCUCCUCAGUAGAUGGGACAACAGGUGCAUACUAUCAUGCCCAGCUACAGUUUUUACAUUUUUAAAGAUUAAAAAACAAAAGUGCCCCAGGUAUGGUGUUGCACAUCUGUAAUCCUAGCACUUUGGUAGGUUGAGGUGGGUGGGUCCCUUGAGCCCAGGAGUAUGAGACCAGCCUGGGUGACAUGGUGAAACUCCAUUUCUACAAAAAAAAAACCAAAAAACAAAAAUUAGCCUGACAUGGUGACAUGCACCUGUAGUCUUAGCUACUCAGGAGGCUGAAGUGAGCAGAUCACUCAAGUCCAGGAGAUUGAGGUUCCAGUGAGCCAAGAUCAUGCCACUGCACGACAGCUUGGGCAACAGAGUGAGACCCUUUCUCAAAAAAGAAAACCAAAGCAAAGAAAAAUGCAACAGAGUAUAUGUGGCUUGCAAAGCCUAAAAUAUUUACUGUCAGGCUCUUUACAGAAAAAGUUUUCCAACUCCUGAUCUAUAUGACCAUCUUGGUAACUAUCUUGACCAUCAGAAAGUAUGAAUCCACCAACUUUGUUUUUUUUUUCCCCCCAAAGAAUUGUUCUGGUUAUUCUAGAUUUUUUGCAUUUCCAUGUAAAUUUUUAAAUCAGGUUAAUGAUUGCUUCAAAAAAGCUUCAUGAAAUUUUGAUUGAGAUUGUUGAAACGCUAGAUCAAUUUGGAGAUAAUUGAUAUGUUAACAUUAAUUAAUGAAUGUUUUAAUCCGUGAAUAUGGCAUCUUCAUUUAUUUAGAUUUUUUUUUUUCAGCUUAUCUUAACCAUGUAUUAGGCUGGUACAAAAGUAAUUGCAGGUUUUUGCCAUUAAAAGUAAUUACUUGGCUGGGCACUGUGGCUCAUGCCUGUAAUCCCAGCACUUUGGGAGGCUGAGGCAGGCAGAUCACCUGAGUGUCAGCAGUUUGACGUCAGCCUGGCCAACAUGGUGAAACCCCAUCUCUACUAAAAAUAUAAAAAAUUAGCUGGGUGUGGUGGCAGGCACCUGUAAUCCCAGCUACUUGGAAGAUUGGGACAGGAGAAUCCCAUGAACCCGGGACGCCAAGGUGUCAGUGAGCCGAGAUCCGGCCACUGCACUCCAACCUGGGCAACAGAUAGUCAGAUAACUUUUUCUUCCUCUGUUUUGAGAGGAUCAUACAAUUUUUAUACUUUAUUCUGUUAAUAUGAUGAAGUACACUGAUGUUUCCAAUAGUAAACCUACCCCUUGGUCACAUGCAAUAUUAUCUUCUUGAAAUAUGUCUGUAUUUGUUUUGCUAAUAACUUGCUAAGUAUUUUUACUUGUAUGUUCAUGAAGGCUAUUGGUCCAUUACUGUGUUGUGAUGUCUUAUUCUGGUUUCGCUGUCAAUGGCAUUGUUGGCAGAAUUCAGUGAUUCAGUGCUGUCAAAUCCCUUGUGUUGGAGACAAUUUUAGGAAAGCAGAAGAAAGAAUGUUUCCCCAUGACAGGGGUCAGAGGCCCUAUACUGCAAAUGCAGGAAGCACUGGCUAUGCUGGAAGAAGCUCCUUGUCAUAUUCAUAAUUUCCCAGUGAGAGAGAAGGUAGAAACCGCUCUUGUCUGAGCACACAUGUCAUCCUAAAUGCUACCUGUGAGACCAGCAGGACCUUCCAUGAAAAACGCUUCCACACCAACUACCUCACUGGACAGUCAGGCCUAAUGUAAGAAACUUUUAUUUUUCUAACAAUUCAGGAAAACUGAAAUCAAAGCAGACAUUAAGUUCACAAAUGAUAUAUUAAUCAGGGCUCAGAUAUGGAGAUGAUGAUCAUGAUCAUUAUUAUUGUUAUUAUUAGUUGAGUUGGAGUCUUGCUCUGUUGCCCAGGCUGGAGUGCAGUGGCAUGAUCUUGGCUCACUGCAGCCUCCGCCUCCUGGGUUCAAGCAAUUCUCCUGCCUCAGCCUCCCAAGUAGCUGGGAUUACAGGCACUGGUAUUAGAUGUCUGGCUAAUUUUUGUAUUUUAAGUAGAGAUGGGGUUUCACCAUGUUGACCAGGCUGGCCUCUUUGGCCAGGCUGAUCUCGAACUCCUGACCUUGUGAUUUGCCUACCUCGGCCUCCCAAAGUGCUGCAAUUACAGACAUGAGCCACCGCAUCUGGCUGGAAAUUAUUUAAUGAUAAAACAAAAUAUAAGUUUAUGGGAAGAAGAGAAAGAACUGUUCAUUUUCUUUUAGCAAAUGAAUACAUUUAAGGCUAUAGCUUGGGUCCUGCCUUGCCUGUGGGUUGAGGUGAGCUGUGUCCAGUGUUCCGCUACUCUUGCAAAACAGGACCUAAAUAUUUUGCACACAGACAUUCUUUCUGGCUGCCGGUGAUUUUCCGUGAAAACAUACUUUACUGUAAUUUAGGCAUUACAUUCCUAGUGCCUUUAGUUUUUUUCUUCUUCACGAAUAAUUACAUUGAAAUAUAAAUAAGUUUUCACCUCCUUUACAGGUGUGCAUUUGGGCAGUCCCAGCUACUCAGAAGGCUGAGGAGGGAGGAUCUCUUGAGCCUGAGAAUUCAAGGCUGCAUUGAGCCAUUAUUGCAUCGCUGCACUCCAGCAUGAGCGACAGAGUGAGACCCUGUCUCAAAAAAAAUAGUUAAUUAUUUUCCUUUUGCUUAUACAUAAAUCGUACAUUUUUUUGAUAUUUAAAAACCAUCUGGAGCAAAUCACCUUGUGGCAUGUUAAUGAUGCCUGCUUUAGUACUUGGGCUCACCCAGCUCUGUUUUGUCCUAAACAGCUGCUGGGAUCUUUAUUGUUUUUUAAGCCAUUCGUAUAUUGAUUCUCUUGAUCAUUUCUUUUACCCCUUGUGUAUAAUGGCACAAACCUGCAAAUGUUAGAGAAGACACAUGAAUGGGCAGUUAAAAUAUGUUGAGCAGCGCAGUAACUAUUAAAAGUAGCAUGGCUUUCAAACAGAUGAUGGUUCAUAAAAUUGUGACUUCUUAUUUUUUAAACAGAAAAUGCGAUGAAUUUUAGUGCACUCCCAGGGUGUUCUUGUAAAUGAUAAAAACCAAUGUGUAACAGCGAGUGCAGCCUAACUGAAAGAUUUGCAAAUUCUGUUUAACACAGUGUCGUAGUAUAGGAAACCAGAAAGAAUUGGAAACACAAGUCAGAGAAAGAGACUGCUCCCUGCAACUUUUAGCCACGAGAGUAACAGCAUACAUUUAGACAGAAAAGGUUAUGAGAUUCCAAAAAGUUCAAAGACAGUAUUGAGUUUCAGAGAAUAGUGGGUUAUAACCCAGUCCUUGUUGGUCAGCUGAACCAUAUUAUAAUUGUUUUUCACAUGGAAGAAAGAAGACUUUGCUCUCUUUUUUUUUUUUUGACAGGGUUUCGCUUUUGUUACCCAGGCUGGAGUGCAAUGGCGCAAUCUCGGCUCACCGCAACCUCCGCCUCCUGGGUUCAAGCAAUUCUCCUGCCUCAGCCUCCUGAGUAGCUGGGAUUACAGGCACGUGCUACCGUGCCCAGCUAAUUUUUUGUAUUUUUAGUAGAGAUGGGGUUUCACCAUAUUGACCAGGAUGGUCUCGAUCUCUUGACCUCGUGAUCCACCCGCCUCGGCCUCCCAAAGUGCUGGGAUUACAGGCUUGAGCCACCACGCCCGGCCUCAACUUUGCUCUCUUUUUAAAAACCUGCUGUUGAGCUAUGUUCCAUCUGCCCCAGCUGAUGGUCACAGCCUUGUCCUUAAUGUGAGCAGAGUGAGGAACUGAUCCCCUCACUAGUGUGCAAGCUCUCAGACUUGUUCUUUACUAGAGUAGGCGCAGUCUGAGUGCAGUGAUGAUUUCUCUCUGUGCCCUGAGGGCUGCUCCCUCCACUGCCAGGACAGAUGAUGCAGCCAGCAAACAAAACACACACACAACUUCCUCCCUCAGUGACCCCAACGCCUGACGGCAGAGAUGAAUCACGUUACUCAUGACAAAAGGAUUACUUAAAAGACAAUUGCUUCAAAUUUAAGCAAUUUUUUUUGAGACAGUCUUCGCCUCUGUCUGUGAAGAAAUACGCAGUUGAUUAUGGAGAUUGAUUAAGAAGUAGACUGCAUGAUAUAAGUGUUAUAAGUAAAAUUUCAAUGUCGCAAAAGAAAUAGCACUCGAAGAUACGUCCUCUAAGCAAGACAGUUUACUUCUAUAGAAGGGUGCAGGGCGCACCGAUGGAGCAAUGAUGGCCACCGCAUGC
This is a non-coding RNA of Callithrix jacchus (white-tufted-ear marmoset), 5858 nucleotides long. NCBI's taxonomy places the organism in Eukaryota, Metazoa, Chordata, Mammalia, Primates, Cebidae. The record is from RefSeq and is a predicted model, not a curated record.